GAUCAUUAUUACUCACUCACGCCGCUCACACAAGGCUCACACGCAACCCGGGAUCAAACUGACAGAUGAUCGAGGCAACAGUGUAACAGCUUCUAUAUUCAUAUAAACUUACUUUAUCAAAUCAUUAUUAUUAGGAUAUUUAUGAGAAUAUGUCUAUUCAUGGAUAGACAAUCAUUUAGGUUUUAAUAUCAUCCCACAUGAUGGUUAGUGUUUCUAUUGUAUGAAACCGUUCAAAAAAAAAAAAAAAGUUAGCAGCAACAGUAAACUACACGUACCGUGAGGCUUUGCGCGUUGACGUUGGCUGAGCGCAGCAUGUGCUUCUGUGCUCUGCUCAAACUAUGGCUCAGUGCUGCUCAGGCUCUUCACGAGAGCACAUCGGUCCUGUAACAGAGACGCUUCACUUGUGGCAGAUCUGAUGGAGGGACCAGCACCGAACUGGACCCUGAACGAGAAGUCAACUUCUUUGAGUACUCAUUAGAGAUAAUCAUUUUUGUUUACGCGCGGAUUCUGUGGACGCACCAAGGAGGAUUAACUACUGACAGAACAUCACUGACCCGCGUGAAGUUAUUAUUAUUUGUCAAAAACAACAACAACAACAAAACAAAACAAAAAGUGAUCACAAUGGCAACCGCCGCAGGAUUCUACAGUCGGCCUGUGUGUGCGGCUCGUCCUGUUGGGUUUAAGGAAAUACUUUGUCUCACGCGGGACGAGCGGUGUCUCUGUCUCUGUCUCCGGCUGCCCAGCGUCUGUCGCUGGACAAGCAGCGUGUCGGACAGACGAGUCUCUUGGGGGAAGUUCACGCGUGUUCAUUUGCAGCCCAGUGUUACAGAGGGGCUCUGAUAUUGGUUUUGGAGAUGCGUCGAUUGUGGCACACGAGAAGGAAUAUCCUGGAAUAUAUUUUGGACGUGAUGCUCGGCAGAUGUUCAGCAAUCUUCGGAAGAUGACGGCACGCGACAGCUCAUCAAACAGUGAAGGAAUCCAAAUUCCUGGAAUUAGACGUCAACCUUUACUUGCUUCCCAGGAAUAUUCUGAUGAUCUCAGAUGAGCACUGAGAAGAGGCUGACUAAUGGAAACCCGAGCUCAAGAAACUCAACAGGAUCAUACUAAAUCCUGGCGUUGGACGGCAGACCAGCAUCCCCUGCAGCAGAUGUUUGCUCCUGGCAUAGCUGCUGACAACAGCAGCUCCAUCACUGACAACCUUGGACGUGGAGAAGCUCUGACAUAAUCUCAGCAGGACAGCAGAGAAGAGGGUAUUCUGCCACUCAGACUUUAGUCAGUCCCAUUUGUGGAGAUGCUUGAUGAAUGUGCAUUAACCAACGUUACUGGUAAUGGAUCUACAUAGUAUGUGACUUUGUCUAAAUGGAGCUGGGAUUAAUAUUUCCAAUUUUCCAGUAGCCAGUGCUUUUUCACGCUGUUCAAACACGGUACUGUCGUUGUGACAUUUACUGUGUUAUUCUGGGACAAGAAUCAACAAGUGCUGGAUCUGUAAAUGGAAAAUAAUCAGACGGUACUUUCCUGUUUUCAGACUAUAUUUGCAAAGUGCCCUUUUGCUUACACCAAAGCAGGCGUGCACACAAGGUUUAUCUUGUGAAAAGAACAACAAAUAUCUCCUGUGGUGUAAAACAAAUUGAUACUCCUUCAACCAAGAUUCCGCAGAUGCAUUUCUGCACCUUAAUCAUCUGACAUCUUCUAAUGACAAAGAAUCCAUUAUCGGCGCAGUGUUAAUGAAUGCAAACCAAAAAAACUCUCCUACCAACACUGCAUUUCAGUGUGACACAUUGGCCCUCUGUGUGUGGUUAAUGAUCCUGUCAGUAUUCUUAUUCUGAUGAUGAUUUAUGGCUCCUCAACUCUUGUGUCUUUGAAAUCCUUAUGUGCAGAAAUAAAAACACAAUAUCUAA
This is a long non-coding RNA of Solea senegalensis (Senegalese sole), 1898 nucleotides long. RefSeq lists it as uncharacterized. The record is from RefSeq and is a predicted model, not a curated record. Lineage: Eukaryota; Metazoa; Chordata; Actinopteri; Pleuronectiformes; Soleidae. The transcript is spliced from 4 exons.